UACGAGGGGGGCAAGCGUUGUUCGGAAUUAUUGGGCGUAAAGCGCGUGUAGGCGGUCCGGUAAGUCCGCUGUGAAAGUCGAGGGCUCAACCCUCGAAUGCCGGUGGAUACUGUCGGGCUAGAGUACGGAAGAGGCGAGUGGAAUUCCUGGUGUAGCGGUGAAAUGCGCAGAUAUCAGGAGGAACACCAAUUGCGAAGGCAGCUCGCUGGGACGUUACUGACGCUGAGACGCGAAAGCGUGGGGAGCAAACAGG
Molecule: ribosomal RNA, 253 nt
Filed under: uncultured bacterium
Lineage: Bacteria
Description: partial 16S ribosomal RNA
Rfam family: Bacterial small subunit ribosomal RNA
Source: RNAcentral